GGCGGUGGUUAAGUGGUAGAGCACCUGCUUUGCGUGCAGAAGAUCCCUGGUCCAACCAUCAGCAUUUCCAGGUAGGGCUA
Podarcis lilfordi (Lilford's wall lizard) is the source of this 80-nucleotide non-coding RNA. The record is from the annotation of a GenBank genome assembly. Lineage: Eukaryota; Metazoa; Chordata; Lepidosauria; Squamata; Lacertidae.